UACGAAGGGGGCUAGCGUUGUUCGGAAUUACUGGGCGUAAAGCGCACGUAGGCGGGUUUGUAAGUAGGGGGUGAAAUCCCAGGGCUCAACCCUGGAACUGCCUUCUAAACUGCAAGCCUGGAGGUCAGGAGAGGCGAGUGGAAUACCGAGUGUAGAGGUGAAAUUCGUAGAUAUUCGGUGGAACACCAGUGGCGAAGGCGACUCGCUGACUGAUACUGACGCUGAGGUGCGAAAGCGUGGGGAGCAAACAGG
This 252-nucleotide ribosomal RNA is filed under the name uncultured bacterium. Its description in RNAcentral is "partial 16S ribosomal RNA". It matches the Rfam family "Bacterial small subunit ribosomal RNA", at positions 524 to 776 of the family's 1533-position model. The record is from RNAcentral.